GCUUACGGCCAUACCAGCCUGGGUACGCCCGAACUCGUCUGAUCUCGGAAGCUAAGCAGGGUUGGCAUGGUUAGUACUUGGAUGGGAGAGUGCCUGGGAAUACCAGGUGUUGUAAGCA
RNAcentral lists this ribosomal RNA (118 nucleotides) under Salmo trutta (river trout). The record is from RNAcentral. Lineage: Eukaryota; Metazoa; Chordata; Actinopteri; Salmoniformes; Salmonidae.